GGCUGGGUAGCUCAGUCGGUAGAGCAGCGGACUGAAAAUCCGUGUGUCGCCGGUUCGAUUCCGGCCCCAGCCA
Molecule: transfer RNA, 73 nt
Filed under: Candidatus Methylacidithermus pantelleriae
Lineage: Bacteria; Pseudomonadati; Verrucomicrobiota; Methylacidiphilae; Methylacidiphilales; Methylacidiphilaceae
Rfam family: tRNA
About the family: Transfer RNA (tRNA) molecules are approximately 80 nucleotides in length. Their secondary structure includes four short double-helical elements and three loops (D, anti-codon, and T loops).
Source: Rfam by way of RNAcentral